This 208-nucleotide long non-coding RNA is filed under the name Lathyrus oleraceus (garden pea). RNAcentral describes it as "Pisum sativum (pea) long non-coding RNA (PSAT_LNC029345)". Lineage: Eukaryota; Viridiplantae; Streptophyta; Magnoliopsida; Fabales; Fabaceae. The record is from RNAcentral.
UUUUAAUGGCAUGAUUCAUGUGGUUACAUUUUGAUUUGGGGGCAACCCUUGAUUACCCUAUUUUUUUUCUCUAACCUGUUUGUUGAGUUUUUUUGUGAGGGCUCACAUGACUCUUGCAGAGAUGGCCUGGUGUUCCACUUUAUUUGUGGGAUACCACCUGGAGGUUUAUUCCGAUUACCUGUGCUUAAUGGCUUGAGAUAUUUGUUUG